AACGAACGUUAGCGGCGCGCCUAACACAUGCAAGUCGAGCGAGAAAGGGGCAACCCCGGUAAAGCGGCGCACGGGUGAGUAACACGUAGGUAAUCUACUCUCGGGUGGAGGAUAACCUUCCGAAAGGAGGGCUAAUACUGCAUGAGACCACGACCUCGAAAGGGGAUGAGGUCAAAGCCGGCCACUGUACACAAGCUGGCGCCUGAGAAUGAACCUGCGGCCCAUCAGCUAGUUGGUAGGUAACGGCCUACCAAGGCGAAGACGGGUAGCUGGUCUGAGAGGAUGAUCAGCCACACUGGAACUGAGACACGGUCCAGACUCCUACGGGAGGCAGCAGUGGGGAAUCUUGCGCAAUGGGCGAAAGCCUGACGCAGCGACGCCGCGUGAGUGAUGAA
Molecule: ribosomal RNA, 395 nt
Filed under: uncultured bacterium
Lineage: Bacteria
Description: bacterial SSU rRNA
Rfam family: Bacterial small subunit ribosomal RNA
Source: RNAcentral